UACGAAGGGGGCUAGCGUUGUUCGGAAUUACUGGGCGUAAAGCGCACGUAGGCGGAUUUGUAAGUCAGGGGUGAAAUCCCGGGGCUCAACCUCGGAACUGCCUUUGAUACUGCAAGUCUCGAGUCCGAUAGAGGUGAGUGGAAUUCCUAGUGUAGAGGUGAAAAUUCGUAGAUAUUAGGAAGAACACCAGUGGCGAAGGCGGCUCACUGGAUCGGUACUGACGCUGAGGUGCGAAAGCGUGGGGAGCAAACAGG
RNAcentral lists this ribosomal RNA (254 nucleotides) under uncultured bacterium. RNAcentral's name for it is "partial 16S ribosomal RNA". It matches the Rfam family "Bacterial small subunit ribosomal RNA", at positions 524 to 776 of the family's 1533-position model. The record is from RNAcentral.